RNAcentral lists this unclassified non-coding RNA (248 nucleotides) under Athalia rosae (coleseed sawfly). RNAcentral describes it as "misc RNA ENSAEAG00005012286.1". The record is from RNAcentral. Lineage: Eukaryota; Metazoa; Arthropoda; Insecta; Hymenoptera; Athaliidae.
AAAAAAAAAAAAAAAAAAAAAAAAAAAAAUUAGAAAAAAAAAAAAAAAAAAAAAAAAAAAAAAAAAAAAAAAAAAAAAAAAAAAAAAAGAAAAAAAAAAAAAAAAACAAAAAAAAAUCGAAAUAAAAAAAAAAAAAAAAAAAAAAAAAAAAAAAAAAAAAAAAAAAAAAAAAAAAAAAAAAAAAAAAAAAAAAAAAAAAUAGGAAAAAAAAAAAAAAAAAAUUAAAAAAAAAAAAAAAAAAAAAAAAA